GACGAACGCUGGCGGCGUGCUUAACACAUGCAAGUCGAACGGAAAGGCCCUGCUUGCAGGGUGCUCGAGUGGCGAACGGGUGAGUAACACGUGGGUGAUCUGCCCCUUACUUUGGGAUAAGCCUGGGAAACUGGGUCUAAUACUGGAUAGGAACAUGCUGUAGGUGGUGUGGUGGAAAGAUUAGUUUCGGUAAGGGAUGAGCUCGGGGCCUAUCAGCUUGUUGGUGGGGUAAUGGCCUACCAAGGCGUCGACGGGUAGCCGGACUGGGAGGGUGGACGGCCACAUUAGGACUGGGAUACGGCCCAGACUCCUACGGGAGGCAGCAGUGGGGAAUAUUGCACAAUGGGCGCAAGCCUGAUGCAGCGACGCCGCGUGGGGGAUGACGGCCUUCGGGUUGUAAACUCCUUUCAGCCAUGACGAAGCCCUUGUGGUGACGGUAGUGGUAGAAGAAGCACCGGCUAACUACGUG
Molecule: ribosomal RNA, 469 nt
Filed under: uncultured bacterium
Lineage: Bacteria
Description: partial 16S ribosomal RNA
Rfam family: Bacterial small subunit ribosomal RNA
Source: RNAcentral